AGUGAACGCUGGCGGUAGGCCUAACACAUGCCAGUCGAACGGCAGCACAGUAAGAGCUUGCUCUUACGGGUGGCGAGUGGCGGACGGGUGAGGAAUACAUCGGAAUCUACUUUUUCGUGGGGGAUAACGUAGGGAAACUUACGCUAAUACCGCAUACGACCUACGGGUGAAAGCAGGGGAUCUUCGGACCUUGCGCGAUUGAAUGAGCCGAUGUCGGAUUAGCUAGUUGGCGGGGUAAACGCCCACCAAGGCGACGAUCCGUAGCUGGUCGGAGAGGAUGAUCGGCCACCCUGGAACUGAGACACGCUCCAGACUCCUACGGGAGGCAGCAGUGGGGAAUAUUGGGCAAUGGGCGCAAGCCUGAUCCAGCCAUACCGCGUGGGUGAAGAAGGCCUUCGGGUUGUAAAGCCCUUUUGUCGGGAAAGAAAAGCAGCAGGUUAAUACCCCGCUGUUCUGACGGUACCCAAAGAAUAAGCACCGGCUAACUUCGUG
This 492-nucleotide ribosomal RNA is filed under the name uncultured bacterium. Its description in RNAcentral is "partial 16S ribosomal RNA". It matches the Rfam family "Bacterial small subunit ribosomal RNA", at positions 29 to 507 of the family's 1533-position model. The record is from RNAcentral.